Molecule: ribosomal RNA, 1648 nt
Filed under: Escherichia coli
Lineage: Bacteria; Pseudomonadati; Pseudomonadota; Gammaproteobacteria; Enterobacterales; Enterobacteriaceae
Description: partial 23S ribosomal RNA
Rfam family: Bacterial large subunit ribosomal RNA
Source: RNAcentral
UGUAUAAUGGGUCAGCGACUUAUAUUCUGUAGCAAGGUUAACCGAAUAGGGGAGCCGAAGGGAAACCGAGUCUUAACUGGGCGUUAAGUUGCAGGGUAUAGACCCGAAACCCGGUGAUCUAGCCAUGGGCAGGUUGAAGGUUGGGUAACACUAACUGGAGGACCGAACCGACUAAUGUUGAAAAAUUAGCGGAUGACUUGUGGCUGGGGGUGAAAGGCCAAUCAAACCGGGAGAUAGCUGGUUCUCCCCGAAAGCUAUUUAGGUAGCGCCUCGUGAAUUCAUCUCCGGGGGUAGAGCACUGUUUCGGCAAGGGGGUCAUCCCGACUUACCAACCCGAUGCAAACUGCGAAUACCGGAGAAUGUUAUCACGGGAGACACACGGCGGGUGCUAACGUCCGUCGUGAAGAGGGAAACAACCCAGACCGCCAGCUAAGGUCCCAAAGUCAUGGUUAAGUGGGAAACGAUGUGGGAAGGCCCAGACAGCCAGGAUGUUGGCUUAGAAGCAGCCAUCAUUUAAAGAAAGCGUAAUAGCUCACUGGUCGAGUCGGCCUGCGCGGAAGAUGUAACGGGGCUAAACCAUGCACCGAAGCUGCGGCAGCGACGCUUAUGCGUUGUUGGGUAGGGGAGCGUUCUGUAAGCCUGUGAAGGUGUACUGUGAGGUAUGCUGGAGGUAUCAGAAGUGCGAAUGCUGACAUAAGUAACGAUAAAGCGGGUGAAAAGCCCGCUCGCCGGAAGACCAAGGGUUCCUGUCCAACGUUAAUCGGGGCAGGGUGAGUCGACCCCUAAGGCGAGGCCGAAAGGCGUAGUCGAUGGGAAACAGGUUAAUAUUCCUGUACUUGGUGUUACUGCGAAGGGGGGACGGAGAAGGCUAUGUUGGCCGGGCGACGGUUGUCCCGGUUUAAGCGUGUAGGCUGGUUUUCCAGGCAAAUCCGGAAAAUCAAGGCUGAGGCGUGAUGACGAGGCACUACGGUGCUGAAGCAACAAAUGCCCUGCUUCCAGGAAAAGCCUCUAAGCAUCAGGUAACAUCAAAUCGUACCCCAAACCGACACAGGUGGUCAGGUAGAGAAUACCAAGGCGCUUGAGAGAACUCGGGUGAAGGAACUAGGCAAAAUGGUGCCGUAACUUCGGGAGAAGGCACGCUGAUAUGUAGGUGAAGCGACUUGCUCGUGGAGCUGAAAUCAGUCGAAGAUACCAGCUGGCUGCAACUGUUUAUUAAAAACACAGCACUGUGCAAACACGAAAGUGGACGUAUACGGUGUGACGCCUGCCCGGUGCCGGAAGGUUAAUUGAUGGGGUUAGCGGUAACGCGAAGCUCUUGAUCGAAGCCCCGGUAAACGGCGGCCGUAACUAUAACGGUCCUAAGGUAGCGAAAUUCCUUGUCGGGUAAGUUCCGACCUGCACGAAUGGCGUAAUGAUGGCCAGGCUGUCUCCACCCGAGACUCAGUGAAAUUGAACUCGCUGUGAAGAUGCAGUGUACCCGCGGCAAGACGGAAAGACCCCGUGAACCUUUACUAUAGCUUGACACUGAACAUUGAGCCUUGAUGUGUAGGAUAGGUGGGAGGCUUUGAAGUGUGGACGCCAGUCUGCAUGGAGCCGACCUUGAAAUACCACCCUUUAAUGUUUGAUGUUCUAACGUUGGCCCCUGAUC